UUUAUGGAGAGUUUGAUCCUGGCUCAGGAUGAACGCUGGCGGCGUGCCUAAUACAUGCAAGUCGAGCGAACGGACGAGAAGCUUGCUUCUCUGAUGUUAGCGGCGGACGGGUGAGUAACACGUGGAUAACCUACCUAUAAGACUGGGAUAACUUCGGGAAACCGGAGCUAAUACCGGAUAAUAUUUUGAACCGCAUGGUUCAAAAGUGAAAGACGGUCUUGCUGUCACUUAUAGAUGGAUCCGCGCUGCAUUAGCUAGUUGGUAAGGUAACGGCUUACCAAGGCAACGAUGCAUAGCCGACCUGAGAGGGUGAUCGGCCACACUGGAACUGAGACACGGUCCAGACUCCUACGGGAGGCAGCAGUAGGGAAUCUUCCGCAAUGGGCGAAAGCCUGACGGAGCAACGCCGCGUGAGUGAUGAAGGUCUUCGGAUCGUAAAACUCUGUUAUUAGGGAAGAACAUAUGUGUAAGUAACUGUGCACAUCUUGACGGUACCUAAUCAGAAAGCCACGGCUAACUACGUGCCAGCAGCCGCGGUAAUACGUAGGUGGCAAGCGUUAUCCGGAAUUAUUGGGCGUAAAGCGCGCGUAGGCGGUUUUUUAAGUCUGAUGUGAAAGCCCACGGCUCAACCGUGGAGGGUCAUUGGAAACUGGAAAACUUGAGUGCAGAAGAGGAAAGUGGAAUUCCAUGUGUAGCGGUGAAAUGCGCAGAGAUAUGGAGGAACACCAGUGGCGAAGGCGACUUUCUGGUCUGUAACUGACGCUGAUGUGCGAAAGCGUGGGGAUCAAACAGGAUUAGAUACCCUGGUAGUCCACGCCGUAAACGAUGAGUGCUAAGUGUUAGGGGGUUUCCGCCCCUUAGUGCUGCAGCUAACGCAUUAAGCACUCCGCCUGGGGAGUACGACCGCAAGGUUGAAACUCAAAGGAAUUGACGGGGACCCGCACAAGCGGUGGAGCAUGUGGUUUAAUUCGAAGCAACGCGAAGAACCUUACCAAAUCUUGACAUCCUUUGACAACUCUAGAGAUAGAGCCUUCCCCUUCGGGGGACAAAGUGACAGGUGGUGCAUGGUUGUCGUCAGCUCGUGUCGUGAGAUGUUGGGUUAAGUCCCGCAACGAGCGCAACCCUUAAGCUUAGUUGCCAUCAUUAAGUUGGGCACUCUAAGUUGACUGCCGGUGACAAACCGGAGGAAGGUGGGGAUGACGUCAAAUCAUCAUGCCCCUUAUGAUUUGGGCUACACACGUGCUACAAUGGACAAUACAAAGGGCAGCGAAACCGCGAGGUCAAGCAAAUCCCAUAAAGUUGUUCUCAGUUCGGAUUGUAGUCUGCAACUCGACUACAUGAAGCUGGAAUCGCUAGUAAUCGUAGAUCAGCAUGCUACGGUGAAUACGUUCCCGGGUCUUGUACACACCGCCCGUCACACCACGAGAGUUUGUAACACCCGAAGCCGGUGGAGUAA
This 1456-nucleotide ribosomal RNA is filed under the name Staphylococcus aureus. RNAcentral describes it as "bacterial SSU rRNA". It matches the Rfam family "Bacterial small subunit ribosomal RNA". The record is from RNAcentral. Lineage: Bacteria; Bacillati; Bacillota; Bacilli; Caryophanales; Staphylococcaceae.